RNAcentral lists this long non-coding RNA (244 nucleotides) under Salvia miltiorrhiza (redroot sage). Its description in RNAcentral is "long non-coding RNA (SMIL_LNC014447)". Lineage: Eukaryota; Viridiplantae; Streptophyta; Magnoliopsida; Lamiales; Lamiaceae. The record is from RNAcentral.
UUAGGAUUUCUCCUUACUCGAGAAGAGAACCUGAUCAAGGAAUUCGAGAGGAUGAAUUUGGAGGUAGUAAUACCACCACAAACGACAGAAAUAGUAAUUUCUGCACUGAGCAUUACACCUGACUUACGAUCGAGAGUAGUCACAGCUCAGAGAGAGGAUGAGAAGAUGGAAGGGUUGCGAAUGAAGAUUCGAACCGAAAAAAAUGGAAAAUUAUCAAGAGGCGGCAGAUAACGCCAUUUUUGUU